GUGCCAGCAGCCGCGGUAAUACGGAGGGGGCUAGCGUUGUUCGGAAUUACUGGGCGUAAAGCGCACGUAGGCGGUUACUCAAGUCAGAGGUGAAAGCCCGGAGCUCAACUUCGGAAUUGCCUUUGAAACUAGGUGACUUGAACACGGGAGAGGUGAGUGGAAUUCCGAGUGUAGAGGUGAAAUUCGUAGAUAUUCGGAAGAACACCAGUGGCGAAGGCGGCUCACUGGACCGUUGUUGACGCUGAGGUGCGAAAGCGUGGGGAGCAAACAGGAUUAGAUACCCCCGUAGUCC
RNAcentral lists this ribosomal RNA (292 nucleotides) under uncultured bacterium. RNAcentral describes it as "partial 16S ribosomal RNA". It matches the Rfam family "Bacterial small subunit ribosomal RNA", at positions 505 to 796 of the family's 1533-position model. The record is from RNAcentral.